Molecule: ribosomal RNA, 491 nt
Filed under: uncultured bacterium
Lineage: Bacteria
Description: bacterial SSU rRNA
Rfam family: Bacterial small subunit ribosomal RNA
Source: RNAcentral
GAUGAACGCUAGCUACAGGCUUAACACAUGCAAGCCGAGGGGCAGCUAUUUUAGUUUGCUUGCAAACUAAAGAUGGCGACCGGCGCACGGGUGAGUAACACGUAUCCAACCUGCCGAUAACUCGGGGAUAGCCUUUCGAAAGAAAGAUUAAUAUCCGAUAGUAUAUUAAAACCGCAUGGUUUUACUAUUAAAGAAUUUCGGUUAUCGAUGGGGAUGCGUUCCAUUAGUUUGUUGGCGGGUAACGGCCCACCAAGACUACGAUGGAUAGGGGUUCUGAGAGGAAGGUCCCCCACAUUGGAACUGAGACACGGUCCAAACUCCUACGGGAGGCAGCAGUGAGGAAUAUUGGUCAAUGGACGAGAGUCUGAACCAGCCAAGUAGCGUGAAGGAUGACUGCCCUAUGGGUUGUAAACUUCUUUUAUAUGGGAAUAAAGUAUUCCACGUGUGGAAUUCUGUAUGUACCAUAUGAAUAAGGAUCGGCUAACUCCGUG